RNAcentral lists this ribosomal RNA (279 nucleotides) under uncultured bacterium. RNAcentral describes it as "partial 16S ribosomal RNA". It matches the Rfam family "Bacterial small subunit ribosomal RNA", at positions 506 to 784 of the family's 1533-position model. The record is from RNAcentral.
UGCCAGCCGCCGCGGUAAUACGUAUGGUGCAAACGUUGUUCGGAAUCACUGGGCUUAAAGAGCACGUAGGCGGUUGAGAAAGUCUGGUGUGAAAUCCCUCAGCUCAACUGAGGAACUGCACUAGAAACUUCUCGGCUAGAGUGCAGGAGGGGAGAGUGGAAUUCCUGGUGGAGCGGUGAAAUGCGUAGAUAUCAGGAGGAACGCCGGUGGCGAAAGCGACUCUCUGGCCUGCUACUGACGCUGAGGUGCGAAAGCGUGGGGAGCGAACAGGAUUAGAUA